UUAACGGGGGUUGGGGGUGGAAGCCUUCCAAUUUCCAAAAAUGUGGGAGCGGAACCAAUAAAGGGAAGAGGUCUCACAGGACAAGUAUUUCCAGCUUUCUGUAGGGUUAGGCGGCGGGGCUGCCCCCUUGUGGUUAAGGGGCGGAAGGGAGAGGAGUUUAUGGGCCAAUUUCUGCCUGCCCAGAUGUUCUGAAGCCUCCAUCCACAGCUGUCCAAGGUGGUGAUGUGCCCGAGAGGCUGAAGAUUGGAGCCAAGUGUGAUUCUCAAGCAUGCUUUCUGGAUGCCACAGAUGUGUUGUGUCUGUGGAGGGGUAGAGAUGUAAAUCCACAGUCCCUCCCUCUCUGGACUCUCGUGUGGGAUUUGUUCCUGGACUGAAAAGGCUCCUUUGAAGAACUGAACUAUGACCACUAAGCUGCAAAGGAUCCUGGGAAAGCAACUUUCUUUAUGUGGGCGUUUUCAUCUCUGAAUGAAAUGAAAAGCCUAUAGGUAAAGAAGAAGAACAACUGCAAGAGGACCUAAAUCUCCUUUUGUAUCCUGGACAAAUGGGACUGUCAUUUGUUGAUCUACCACACAGUCAGCAGUGUAAGCUCAUUUGGUUAGUCAUUCACUUCAAUUCCUGCAUAGACACAAAGCAGGUGUGGAUUCUACUUUGUAUACAUAGAGAAACUGAGGCGCAGAGAAAAUCAGACAGGUUCACAUACACACAGUGGGAUGAAUUAACCCUAGUACCUAUAUCUGCUGGGUCCCAAAAGUUGAAGGAGGUCUUACGUCAGUCUAUUUUUUAAAAUGAUGUCCAAGAAAGUAGUUGAAAGUAUUCUCUCCCCUCUCAUAUCAUAGACCUGAGGAAGGAAGGGUAAGCUCCCAUGAAGAUGUUUGGGGGUCUCUAGAGCUCCUGUGGAGAUCUCUGUCCCCUAGCAAGGUUCUUAAUGGCUCCUGAUUUCUGAGAGCUGAGCUUUGAGGUCUGUCCUUCCCUGAAGGGUCCACCCAUCCCUGCAAUUAGAUUCUUCCCUCACUGUUAGCCUAUUGCUAACUAACUUCAUGUGUGCUAGACACACCCAUCCAAAGGAAAUAGAGCGGGGCUCAACUGCUCCUGAUUCUCAGAAGCAAAAUAAUCCAAUACUUGGCCCCCCGAGCAAGGGAUGUCAACAGUCAAGAAAUGCAGCAUUGGGAGGCUGGUGGCUGUGCUGGAUGGUACCUUGCCACUUACUGGCCAUGUGACUUGUUUGUUCCUUCAUUAGCCCUUAGCUUCUUAGGUGCAACAGGAAAGAAAACAGUCAAAUUCAUGUCACACUUAGAAGAUGGACUGCCACAUGGCUGACACCACCGCGACCUUGGUCAGUGUGGUAGUUUGAACGAAACCGGCCACCAUAGACUCAUAGGGAGUGGUACUAUUAGGGUUUGUAACUUUGUUGAGUAGGUGGGACUUCAUUGGAGGAAGUGUUGGUCAGUUGGGGUGGGCUUUGAGGUCUCUAUGAUUAAGCCAGACCUACUGGAUCAAUUUUCCUCUUGCUGUCAUGCAGAUCAAGAUGUGGAACUCUCGGCUACCUUGCCAGCACCAUAUCUGCUGCACACUGCCAUGCUUCCUGACAUGAUGAUAAUGAAUUAAACCUACAAGCUGUAAGACAGCCCCAAUUAAAUGUUUUCCUUUAUAAUAGUUGCUGUGGUCAUGGUGUCUCAUCAGGGCAAUAGGACACUAGGGGAGUGUUUGUGGAAUAUCCUUUCUGAUCAGUAUGCUUCUUCAGAUUCAGUCUUUUGAAUUCUCAAAGCUAGGUCUCUAGGG
Molecule: long non-coding RNA, 1779 nt
Organism: Apodemus sylvaticus (European woodmouse)
Lineage: Eukaryota; Metazoa; Chordata; Mammalia; Rodentia; Muridae
Exons: 3
Source: RefSeq, a predicted model, not a curated record